This is a long non-coding RNA of Clupea harengus (Atlantic herring), 206 nucleotides long. RefSeq lists it as uncharacterized. The transcript has 3 exons. NCBI's taxonomy places the organism in Eukaryota, Metazoa, Chordata, Actinopteri, Clupeiformes, Clupeidae. The record is from RefSeq and is a predicted model, not a curated record.
ACACACUCUGCAAGGAGCUUCUCUCCAAACAGGAUCAUUAUGACUGGGGUCUCAGAGCCAUCAAGUCAGUGCUAGUGGUUGCAGGCUCACUAAAGCGAGAGGACAGGAACAAGCCUGAAGAGCAGGUGCUGAUGCGUUCCCUGCGGGACUUUAACCUGCCCAAGAUCGUGACCAGCGACGUUCCCAUAUUCCUGGGUCUGAUCAGU